UGGGGAAUAUUGGACAAUGGGCGAAAGCCUGAUCCAGCCAUGCCGCGUGUGUGAAGAAGGUCUUCGGAUUGUAAAGCACUUUAAGUUGGGAGGAAGGGCAGUUACCUAAUACGUAUCUGUUUUGACGUUACCGACAGAAUAAGCACCGGCUAACUCUGUGCCAGCAGCCGCGGUAAUACAGAGGGUGCAAGCGUUAAUCGGAAUUACUGGGCGUAAAGCGCGCGUAGGUGGUUUGUUAAGUUGGAUGUGAAAUCCCCGGGCUCAACCUGGGAACUGCAUUCAAAACUGACAAGCUAGAGUAUGGUAGAGGGUGGUGGAAUUUCCUGUGUAGCGGUGAAAUGCGUAGAUAUAGGAAGGAACACCAGUGGCGAAGGCGACCACCUGGACUGAUACUGACGCUGAGACGCGAAAGCGUGGGGAGCAAACAGGAUUAGAUACCCAAGUAGUCCCUGAGCGGGCUGGCAAGGCGCAU
Molecule: ribosomal RNA, 472 nt
Filed under: uncultured bacterium
Lineage: Bacteria
Description: bacterial SSU rRNA
Rfam family: Bacterial small subunit ribosomal RNA
Source: RNAcentral